CGAGCGGUAGCGCAGAGGUCGUCGCGUCUCCCCCUCAAGGAGAAAGACGCCGGUUCGAAUCCGGCCCGCCCGC
Molecule: transfer RNA, 73 nt
Organism: Micromonospora echinofusca
Lineage: Bacteria; Bacillati; Actinomycetota; Actinomycetes; Micromonosporales; Micromonosporaceae
Rfam family: tRNA
About the family: Transfer RNA (tRNA) molecules are approximately 80 nucleotides in length.
Source: Rfam